AGACCUCCUGGGCCUUACACUGGUCAUAUGUCCAUGCCUGUGGUUGUGCCAUCACCCCACUAUUGUCCACACCUAAACCCCAGAAGCAUAUGUCAGAGGGGAAGUAAACUAGCAUGUCUGAGGGUUGUGGCAGCCACAACACUUGAGGAACAAAGAAAGAGCUUUGGACUGAGUAAGGGAUCCUGUCUGGAAUCAGGAUCCCUUAUUGGAAUUCAACCAGUAAGACUGCUGAAGCAUGUGGAGGAGCUUGACGGGGUGAUGUCAAGGGCUCACAGUACAAAACCUCAAGUGGCUCACAACCCACUCAUCAACCGUACCGGGCUUCAUUGUCCAAUGGGAUGCUGAUGAGGGCCAGGGCAAGGAGAAAACAGGUACCACAGAGGAUGCCUUGGAAGACCUACAGGAUGAGGAGCCUAUGAUUCUGCAUCUCUGCCCAGAGGAGCCAGUUGAGGAAGCCCUGCACUGACGAACCCAAGAAGGA
Molecule: long non-coding RNA, 481 nt
Organism: Mauremys reevesii (Reeves's turtle)
Lineage: Eukaryota; Metazoa; Chordata; Testudines; Geoemydidae
Exons: 3
Source: RefSeq, a predicted model, not a curated record